GUCAGGAUGGCCGAGCGGUCUAAGGCGCCAGAUUUAAGCUCUGGUUCUCUAAGGAGAGCGUGGGUUCGAACCCCACUCCUGACA
This 84-nucleotide transfer RNA is filed under the name Nephila pilipes (giant wood spider). It matches the Rfam family "tRNA". Rfam says of the family: Transfer RNA (tRNA) molecules are approximately 80 nucleotides in length. Their secondary structure includes four short double-helical elements and three loops (D, anti-codon, and T loops). Further hydrogen bonds mediate the characteristic L-shaped molecular structure. tRNAs have two regions of fundamental functional importance: the anti-codon, which is responsible for specific mRNA codon recognition, and the 3' end, to which the tRNAs corresponding amino acid is attached (by aminoacyl-tRNA synthetases). tRNAs cope with the degeneracy of the genetic code in two manners: having more than one tRNA (with a specific anti-codon) for a particular amino acid; and 'wobble' base-pairing, i.e. permitting non-standard base-pairing at the 3rd anti-codon position. Lineage: Eukaryota; Metazoa; Arthropoda; Arachnida; Araneae; Nephilidae. The record is from Rfam by way of RNAcentral.